UGCAAGUCGAACGGUGAAGCGAGAGCUUGCUCUUGUGGAUCAGUGGCGAACGGGUGAGUAACACGUGAGUAACCUGCCCCAGACUCUGGGAUAAGCCUUGGAAACGAGGUCUAAUACCGGAUACGAGACGAGACCGCAUGGUCAUUGUCUGGAAAGAAUUUCGGUCUGGGAUGGACUCGCGGCCUAUCAGCUUGUUGGUGAGGUAAUGGCUCACCAAGGCGACGACGGGUAGCCGGCCUGAGAGGGCGACCGGCCACACUGGAACUGAGACACGGUCCAGACUCCUACGGGAGGCAGCAGUGGGGAAUAUUGCACAAUGGGCGCAAGCCUGAUGCAGCGACGCCGCGUGGGGGAUGAAGGCCUUCGGGUUGUAAACCCCUUUCAGCAGGGAAGAAGCGAAAGUGACGGUACCUGCAGAAGAAGCGCCGGCUAACUACGUGCCAGCAGCCGCGGUAAUACGUAGGGCGCAAGCGUUGUCCGGAAUUAUUGGGCGUAAAGAGCUCGUAGGCGGUCUGUCGCGUCUGCUGUGAAAUCCCGAGGCUCAACCUCGGGCCUGCAGUGGGUACGGGCAGACUAGAGUGUGGUAGGGGAGACUGGAAUUCCUGGUGUAGCGGUGGAAUGCGCAGAUAUCAGGAGGAACACCAAUGGCGAAGGCAGGUCUCUGGGCCACAACUGACGCUGAGGAGCGAAAGCAUGGGGAGCGAACAGGAUUAGAUACCCUGGUAGUCCAUGCCGUAAACGGUGGGCACUAGAUGUGGGGCUCUUUCCAUGAGUUCCGCGUCGCAGCUAACGCAUUAAGUGCCCCGCCUGGGGAGUACGGCCGCAAGGCUAAAACUCAAAGGAAUUGACGGGGGCCCGCACAAGCGGCGGAGCAUGCGGAUUAAUUCGAUGCAACGCGAAGAACCUUACCAAGGCUUGACAUAUACCCCUUUACCCCUAGAGAUAGGGGGGUCCUUCGGGGGGGUAUACAGGUGGUGCAUGGUU
This 984-nucleotide ribosomal RNA is filed under the name Demequina sp. CPA-135. RNAcentral describes it as "bacterial SSU rRNA". It matches the Rfam family "Bacterial small subunit ribosomal RNA", at positions 56 to 1050 of the family's 1533-position model. Lineage: Bacteria; Bacillati; Actinomycetota; Actinomycetes; Micrococcales; Demequinaceae. The record is from RNAcentral.